RNAcentral lists this ribosomal RNA (500 nucleotides) under uncultured bacterium. RNAcentral's name for it is "bacterial SSU rRNA". It matches the Rfam family "Bacterial small subunit ribosomal RNA", at positions 29 to 521 of the family's 1533-position model. The record is from RNAcentral.
AUUGAACGCUGGCGGCGUGCUUAACACAUGCAAGUCGAUCGGUAACAGGUGUAGCAAUACAUGCUGACGAGAGGCGGACGGGUGAGUAAUGCUUGGGAAUCUGCCUAUUAGUGGGGGACAACCCGGGGAAACUCGGGCUAAUACCACAUACGCUCUACGGAGGAAAGCCGGGGACCGCAAGGCCUGGCGCUAAUAGAUGAGCCCAAGUCGGAUUAGCUAGUUGGUAGGGUAACGGCCUACCAAGGCGACAAUCCGUAGCUGGUCUGAGAGGACGACCAGCCACACCGGAACUGAGACACGGUCCGGACUCCUACGGGAGGCAGCAGUGGGGAAUAUUGGACAAUGGGGGCAACCCUGAUCCAGCGACGCCGCGUGGGUGAAGAAGGCCUGCGGGUUGUAAAGCCCUUUCGGUGGGGAAGAAAAGUCUCGACCUAAUACGUCGGGACCUUGACGUAACCCACUAAAGAAGCACCGGCUAACUCUGUGCCAGCAGCCGCAGU